Molecule: unclassified non-coding RNA, 253 nt
Filed under: uncultured Verrucomicrobiota bacterium
Lineage: Bacteria; Pseudomonadati; Verrucomicrobiota
Description: uncultured Verrucomicrobia bacterium contains 16S-23S intergenic spacer region
Rfam family: Bacterial small subunit ribosomal RNA
Source: RNAcentral
UACAGAGACUCCAAGCGUUAUUCGGAUUCACUGGGCGUAAAGGGUGCGCAGGCGGUCAGGUGUGUCAGGUGUGAAAGCCCGGGGCUUAACCCCGGAAUUGCGCCUGAAACUACCUGGCUAGAGUAUCGGAGAGGGAAGUGGAAUUCCAGGUGUAGCGGUGAAAUGCGUAGAUAUCUGGAGGAACACCAAAGGCGAAGGCAGCUUCCUGGACGAUGACUGACGCUCAGGCACGAAAGCGUGGGUAGCGAAAGGG